AAAUCUUUGUUUUUUCAUUAUCAAUCUGUCCAUAACCACAGCCGACAUUAUUAAUAGCAGAACCAUCUCCAGAUGAAAGCACAAUAACUUUUGGCUUGGACAUCAAAUCUCUCAUUAGCAUCAGCCAAAAGAGCAGGGAUUGAUAAUGAAGAGCUAGCUUAUAAUGUUGAAAAAAGCCCAACAUCUGUUGCAAAUAAAGAGAGAGUAUACUGCUAUCACCAGAAAUGCAUUGCAAGUUGGAAGAACCCAAAGACACCAAACUCUCACAUAUAUAUUCUGCAAACUCACAUUCACUCUCAUCUAUAACCCCAGCACUUGACCCAGAUUUGUAUAAAAAUUCUCUG
Molecule: unclassified non-coding RNA, 344 nt
Filed under: Hevea brasiliensis (rubber tree)
Lineage: Eukaryota; Viridiplantae; Streptophyta; Magnoliopsida; Malpighiales; Euphorbiaceae
Source: RNAcentral